This 452-nucleotide ribosomal RNA is filed under the name uncultured bacterium. RNAcentral's name for it is "bacterial SSU rRNA". It matches the Rfam family "Bacterial small subunit ribosomal RNA", at positions 29 to 526 of the family's 1533-position model. The record is from RNAcentral.
AACGAACGCUGGCGGCAGGCUUAACACAUGCAAGUCGAACGCACCGCAAGGUGAGUGGCAGACGGGUGAGUAACGCGUGGGAACGUGCCCUUCAGUUCGGGAUAACCCAGGGAAACUUGGGCUAAUACCGGAUACGUGCGAGAGCAGAAAGAUUUAUCGCUGAAGGAUCGGCCCGCGUCUGAUUAGCUAGUUGGUGAGGUAAUGGCCCACCAAGGCGACGAUCAGUAGCUGGUCUGAGAGGAUGAUCAGCCACAUUGGGACUGAGACACGGCCCAAACUCCUACGGGAGGCAGCAGUGGGGAAUAUUGGACAAUGGGCGCAAGCCUGAUCCAGCCAUGCCGCGUGGAGGUAGAAGGCCUACGGGUCGUGAACUUCUUUUCCCGGAGAAGAAGCAAUGACGGUAUCUGGGGAAUAAGCAUCGGCUAACUCUGUGCCAGCCGCCGCCGUAAUAC